AAGUCGUAACAAGGUUUCCGUAGGUGAACCUGCGGAAGGAUCAUUAACGAGUUUUGAAACGGGUUGUAGCUGGCCUUCCGAGGCAUGUGCACGCCCUGCUCAUCCACUCUACACCUGUGCACCUACUGUAGGUUGGUGUGGGCUCCUUCGCGGGAGCGUUCUGCCGGCCUAUGUAUAUUACAAACCCCUUAAAGAAACAGAAUGUAAACGCGUCUAACGCAUCUUAAUACAA
This 232-nucleotide unclassified non-coding RNA is filed under the name plant metagenome. RNAcentral's name for it is "partial contains small subunit ribosomal RNA and internal transcribed spacer 1". The stretch from base 1 to 46 matches the Rfam family "Eukaryotic small subunit ribosomal RNA", at positions 1786 to 1831 of the family's 1831-position model. The record is from RNAcentral.